Molecule: ribosomal RNA, 492 nt
Filed under: uncultured bacterium
Lineage: Bacteria
Description: partial 16S ribosomal RNA
Rfam family: Bacterial small subunit ribosomal RNA
Source: RNAcentral
AGUGAACGCUGGCGGUAGGCCUAACACAUGCAAGUCGAACGGCAGCACAGUAAGAGCUUGCUCUUACGGGUGGCGAGUGGCGGACGGGUGAGGAAUACAUCGGAAUCUACUUUUUCGUGGGGGAUAACGUAGGGAAACUUACGCUAAUACCGCAUACGACCUACGGGUGAAAGCAUGGGAUCUUCGGACCUUGCGCGAUUGAAUGAGCCGAUGUCGGAUUAGCUAGUUGGCGGGGUAAAGGCCCACCAAGGCGACGAUCCGUAGCUGGUCUGAGAGGAUGAUCAGCCACACUGGAACUGAGACACGGUCCAGACUCCUACGGGAGGCAGCAGUGGGGAAUAUUGGACAAUGGGCGCAAGCCUGAUCCAGCCAUACCGCGUGGGUGAAGAAGGCCUUCGGGAUGUAAAGCCCUUUUGUUGGGAAAGAAAAGCAGCAGGUUAAUACCCCGCUGUUCUGACGGUACCCAAAGAAUAAGCACCGGCUAACUUCGUG